UUUUCCUUUAUUUCCAAUAGGUAAAUGGAGGUGCUCGAACCAGCUUAUUUCUAAUGGUUAAAAGAGAGCACUAGGACAUGUUAUUUUUCAGCAGGUGAAGCCAGGUACCAUAAACUGAUUAUUUCCUAUGGGUAAAAGGAAGUGCGGAAACAGCUUGUUUCCAGCGGGUAAUAGGGAGUGCUGGAAAAGGCUUAUUUCCAAUGGAUAAAGCUAGUAUUUGGAAAAUGACUAUUUCCUAUAGGUAAAAGAAAGUGCUUGGAAAAUAUCUCAUUUGCUCACCCAUAUUGGAGAACUCUAAGUAGUGGGCUUGGACUUUGGUCCUCCCAAGUAGCUAGCUCAAAGUCUCCAUUAUCCAAGAGCUUCCGUGGGCCUUGUGGACCUCCGUAACCUUCCACACCACAAUUCCUCGUGCAAGCCCCGUAAACCGCAUGACUUGAGUUCAUGUGAGCUUGAUAGGUGAUUGACAUAGAAAAAAUGUAUUAUUGAUUUGGCAUGACAUGUAACACUAUUUAUAUAUUUAUUUAAUAAAUUAAUUUCUAAAAUACAGCUUGAAUUAACACAUGACAAACAUUAUAUUAUAUUCGGCUUUGAAUGUCUUUGAGCUUCCCGUGACUUGUUUGGGCCUCAACACAAUCCAUCACUUAUGUCUAAUUCCGUUAAAGUUUCUGUUAAAUUUAAGGGCAUUUUUGUCAAUUCACUAUAACUAAAAAUAAUUAUAACCCAAAAAAAAAAAAACAGAAUUUAAAAAAUAUAAAAGUUAACCUGAUUACACCAUAGCUUCCACACAAAAAAAGUUAACCUAAUUACACUCACCAACCCAUCCAUGAAUGAGCAUGCUAUGGCCAGUGGCGGAUCCCGG
RNAcentral lists this long non-coding RNA (859 nucleotides) under Prunus persica (peach). RNAcentral describes it as "long non-coding RNA (PPER_LNC007545)". The record is from RNAcentral. Lineage: Eukaryota; Viridiplantae; Streptophyta; Magnoliopsida; Rosales; Rosaceae.